CUGCCAGUAUUGAUAUGCUUGUCUCAAAGAUUAAGCCUUGCAAGUCUAAGUAUAAAUCAUUUUUACUGAUGAAACUGCGAACGGCUCAUUAAAUCAGUUAUAGUUUAUUUGAUGGUAUUGGGGCUUGUACCCAACUACAUGGAUAACUGUAGUAACCUAGAGCUAAUACAUGCAAAUCAACCAAACUAGUAUUCGGAAUGGUUGGCACUUAUUAGAUAACAAACCAAUACCUCUCGGGGUUUUAAUGGUGAUUCAUAAUAACUGAACAGAUCGCAUGACCUUGUGUCGGCGACGUUUCAUUCAAAUUUCUGCCCUAUCAACUAGAUGUUAGUAUAUAGGACUAACAUGGUUUUAACGUUUGACGGGGAAUUGGGGUUCGAUUCCGGAAAAGGAGCAUGAGAAAACGGCUACUACUUCUAAUGAAAGCAUCAAGCGCGCAAAUUAUUUCAAUGGUAACAAC
This 460-nucleotide ribosomal RNA is filed under the name uncultured eukaryote. RNAcentral's name for it is "bacterial SSU rRNA". It matches the Rfam family "Eukaryotic small subunit ribosomal RNA", at positions 14 to 458 of the family's 1831-position model. The record is from RNAcentral.